CAGUAGCCACGGUAAUACGGAGGGUGCAAGCGUUAAUCGGAAUUACUGGGCGUAAAGCGCACGCAGGCGGUCUGACAAGUCAGAUGUGAAAUCCCCGGGCUUAACCUGGGAACUGCAUUUGAAACUGUCAGGCUGGAGUCUUGUAGAGGGGGGUGGAAUUCCAGGUGUAGCGGUGAAAUGCGUAGAGAUCUGGAGGAAUACCGGUGGCGAAGGCGGCCCCCUGGACAAAGACUGACGCUCAGGUGCGAAAGCGUGGGGAGCAAACAGGAUUAGAUACCCCUGUAGUCCCUGUCUCUUAUAU
RNAcentral lists this ribosomal RNA (301 nucleotides) under uncultured bacterium. Its description in RNAcentral is "partial 16S ribosomal RNA". It matches the Rfam family "Bacterial small subunit ribosomal RNA", at positions 509 to 809 of the family's 1533-position model. The record is from RNAcentral.